GGCUUUAGUGCUCACCUGCACACGUUUGCACACACACAUACAUAUAUGUCUCGAUAUAUAUACAUCUGUAUGCAUUUGUGAUAUUGGGCAAGUCGCCGCGAACAUGGCCUCCACUGCGAAUGCCGGCGUGGAUGGCUUGUGCCCCGCGACGCGGGACGCCGCUGCUGAGGUGCUAUGGGCAAAGCUGGAUGAGGUGCAGAAGCUACUCGCGAAUAAGCCGGACGCGAAGGAGCUCUUCACCAAGUACACAGUGUUCCGCUCCGUGGUGGGCGAGGUGAAGCCCGUCUUCACCGACUCGGUGCGCACACGGGUGAAGGUGUUCUGCGAGGAGCCGGCCUUUGCCGUGCCAGAAGAAUGCGACGACUUCGAGCCAGUCUCGCUGCACGUUGUGGCGUACUUAAACUACACGCUCUUUAUGGAGGAGAUGAGGGAGCUGAUGGUGCAGGCGCGGCUGCUGAAGAGUAUCGGGAUGGAGGGCUCAGGACUGCGGUUCCAGCGCCGCGAGCAAAACAUCGUCGCGCCGGACAACGAACCGCGCACUGGAAGCAGCAGCAAGCCAUCUGGCCAGGUGUCAAUGCACAAGCCGAGCUACCGCCCUGCGACACUCAUCCCCGUUGGCACGCUGCGGAUGCGUCGGGUCUCGAAGGCGUCGGAGGCAGGAAAGCUUGCGGAGGUGGUUGCCAAGAUCGAGCGCGUGUGCGUUGUCAAGAGCGCUCGCUGCUUUGACGCCGGUCGGGCUUUGAUGAGAGCAGCCGAGAAGAUCGCCCGGGACGCUUUCCACGUCCGCUGGGCCCUUACAUACGCGCAGCUGAGCUCCAAGGAUUUUUAUACCAAGGCCGGCUACACGCCAAAGGACGGGCGUGCGUGCAUGGACUUGCAUACGCCGCAUGUUGUGAUGAUCAAGUGCUUGGUGGAUGCCUCGAUGUGAGGUGGUGGUCCGCACAUGCGCACAACAAUGCACGGCACUGCCGCCGAGAAGUGAAGCGCCGCUGAUGAGUUAGCUGGUGUCCUCUCCUUGUCGUUGUGUUGCUUCUGAUGGCGCUUGGUAUAUAUGUAUAUAUGUAUAUAUGUAUAUAUGUAUAUAUGUAUAUAUGUAGUACACAUGCAUAUAUGUAUAUAUGUAUAUAUGUAUAUAUGUAUAUAUGUAGUACACAUGCAUAUAUGUAUAUAUGUAUAUAUGUAUAUAUGUAUAUAUGUAUAUAUGUAUAUAUGUAGUACACAUGCAUAUAUGUAUAUAUGUAUAUAUGUAUAUAUGUAUAUAUGUAUAUAUGUAUAUAUGUAUAUAUCAUACGCCAGCAUGUGUGCGAGGCAACGAGGCGCGCGAGGGGCGGGUGAGCUUUGAAGCAUAGCACUCAAACGCGCGUGCAGUCUCUACCGCUCCCCUCUUCUCUCUUCCCUUCCCGCUUUGGUUUUGUUUUUUGCUUCGAGGGGAGGGGGGAGAAGGUAUAGGUGGGCGGUGGUGGGAGAACACCGCAUAUGUAACGCACACACGCACUGUGGGUGUGUCUCUCCUUGCGUUACCACGGGUGCCUGCUGCUCGCUUGCCACUUGGCAUUCGCCGAGCCACAGCCGCGGGUGACAC
Molecule: unclassified non-coding RNA, 1582 nt
Filed under: Leishmania donovani
Lineage: Eukaryota; Euglenozoa; Kinetoplastea; Trypanosomatida; Trypanosomatidae
Description: gene:LdHU3.13.0670(CDS-product:actyltransferase-l ike_protein)
Source: RNAcentral